CUUUCUCCGCCGGCGACCGGCGCGACGGGUGAGUAACACGUAUCGCCAACCUCGCCCUGUCGAGGGGACAACCGCCGAAAGGCGGGCUAAACCCGCGUACAUGCCACCGGGGCAUCCCGGAGGCAGGAAAGGCUUCGGCCGGACAGGGAUGGGCAUGCGGCGCAUUAGGCAGUAGGCGGGGUAACGGCCCACCUAACCGACGAUGCGUAGGGGUUCUGAGAGGAAGGUCCCCCACACUGGUACUGAGACACGGACCAGACUCCUACGGGAGGCAGCAG
Molecule: ribosomal RNA, 278 nt
Filed under: uncultured bacterium
Lineage: Bacteria
Description: partial 16S ribosomal RNA
Rfam family: Bacterial small subunit ribosomal RNA
Source: RNAcentral